This 402-nucleotide ribosomal RNA is filed under the name uncultured bacterium. RNAcentral describes it as "bacterial SSU rRNA". It matches the Rfam family "Bacterial small subunit ribosomal RNA", at positions 356 to 774 of the family's 1533-position model. The record is from RNAcentral.
AGGGAAUAUUGCAAAAUGGGCGGAAGCCCGAUGCAGCAACGCCGCGUGGGCGAUGAAGGCCUUCGGGUCGUAAAGCCCUUUUUGAGGGGAUGAGGAAGGACAGUACCCUCAGAAUAAGCCUCGGCUAACUACGUGCCAGCAGCCGCGGUAAAACGUAGGAGGCGAGCGUUAUCCGGAUUUACUGGGCGUAAAGCGCGUGCAGGCGGAUUGGAGAGUUGGAUGUGAAAGCUCCCGGCUUAACUGGGAGAGGUCGUUCAAUACUUCCAGUCUUGAGUGCAGUAGAGGGAAGUGGAAUUCCGGGUGUAGUGGUGAAAUGCGUAGAUAUCCGGAGGAACACCAGUGGCGAAAGCGGCUUCCUGGACUGUAACUGACGCUCAGACGCGAAAGCUAGGGUAGCAAACG